UGAACGCUGGCGGCGUGCCUAAUACAUGCAAGUCGAGCGAACGGACGAGAAGCUUGCUUCUCUGAUGUUAGCGGCGGACGGGUGAGUAACACGUGGAUAACCUACCUAUAAGACUGGGAUAACUUCGGGAAACCGGAGCUAAUACCGGAUGAUAUUUUGAACCGCAUGGUUCAAAAGUGAAAGACGGUCUUGCUGUCACUUAUAGAUGGAUCCGCGCUGCAUUAGCUAGUUGGUAAGGUAACGGCUUACCAAGGCAACGAUGCAUAGCCGACCUGAGAGGGUGAUCGGCCACACUGGAACUGAGACACGGUCCAGACUCCCACGGGAGUCAGCAGUAGGGAAUCUUCCGCAAUGGGCGAAAGCCUGACGGAGCAACGCCGCGUGAGUGAUGAAGGUCUUCGGAUCGUAAAACUCUGUUAUUAGGGAAGAACAUAUGUGUAAGUAACUGUGCACAUCUUGACGGUACCUAAUCAGAAAGCCACGGCUAACUACGUG
Molecule: ribosomal RNA, 495 nt
Filed under: uncultured bacterium
Lineage: Bacteria
Description: partial 16S ribosomal RNA
Rfam family: Bacterial small subunit ribosomal RNA
Source: RNAcentral